CGCGCAGGCGGCUGGUCAAGUCCGAUGUGAAAUCUCCCGGCUUAACUGGGAAACUGCAUCGGAAACUGAUCGGCUUGAAGGUGGGAGAGGGUAGUGGAAUUCCCGGUGUAGUGGUGAAAUGCGUAGAUAUCGGGAGGAACACCAGUGGCGAAGGCGACUACCUGGCCCAUUCUUGACGCUGAGGCGCGAAAGCUAGGGAGCGAACG
This 206-nucleotide ribosomal RNA is filed under the name uncultured bacterium. Its description in RNAcentral is "partial 16S ribosomal RNA". It matches the Rfam family "Bacterial small subunit ribosomal RNA", at positions 568 to 774 of the family's 1533-position model. The record is from RNAcentral.